CUGGUCCUUGUCCUCAUGCAGAAAGUCCAAGAUGAUAAGCAUGGCAAUGUUUUGGUCAAGCUAGAAAAAAGCAUCAUUGUGACCGCUGAGACCGCGUCCGCCCCGCGAGCACAGAGCCUCGCCCUUGUCAUUCCGUUGCCCGUUCACACCCGCCGCCAGCUCGCCAUGGAUGAUGAUAUCGCUGCACUUGUUGUAGACAAAGGCUCCGGCAUGUGCAAGGCUGGCUUCGCGGGCAGCGAUGCUCCCCGGGCCGUCUUCCCCUCCAUUGUGGGGCACCCCAGGCACCAGGGCGUGAUGGUGGGCAUGCGUCAGAAGGACUCCUACGUGCGUGGGUUGCGUGCGUGGGUGACGAGGCCCAGAGCAAGAGACGCAUCCUGACCCUGAAGUAUGCCAUUGAGCAUGGCAUUGUCACCAACUGGGAUGACGACAUGGAGAAGAUCUGGCACCACACUUUCUACCACGAGCUGCGUGUGGCUCCUGAGGAGCACCCCAUGCUGCUUGCUGAGGGCCCCCUGAACCCCAAGGCCAACAGCGAGAAGAUGACCCAGAUCAUGUUUGAGACCUUCGACACCCCAGCCAUGUAUGUGGCUAUCCAGGCCGGGCUUUCCUUGUAUGCCUCUGGCCGUACCACUGGCAUCGUGAUGGACUCCGGUGAUGGGGUCACCCACACUGUGCCCAUCUACGAGGGGUUUGUCCUCCCCCAUGCCAUCCUGCGUCUGAACCUGACUGACCAGGACCUGACUGACUACCUCAUGAAGAUCCUCACUGAGUAGGCUACAGCUUCACCACCCCAGCUGAGCAGGAAAUCGUGCAUGACAUCAAAGAGAAGCUGUGCUACAUCGCCCUGGACUUUGAGCAGGAAAUGGCCAUGGCUGCCUCCAGCUCCUCCCUGGAGAAGAGCUAUGAGCUGCCCGAUGGUCAGGUCAUCACCAUCCGCAACAAGUGGUUCUGCUGCCCUGAGGCGCUCUUCCAGCCUUCCUUCCUGGGCAUGGAAUCUUGUGGCAUCCACAAAACUACCCUUAAUUCCAUCAUGAAAUGUGACGUGGACAUCCGCAAAGACCUGUAUGCCAACACAGUGCUGUCUGGUGGUACCGCCAUGUACCCUGGCAUCGCUGACAGGAUGCAGAUGGAGAUCACUGCCCUGGCACCCAGCACGAUGAAGAUCAAGAUCAUUGCUCCUCCCGAGCACAAGUACCCCGUGUGGAUCGGUGGCUCCAUCCUGGCCUCGCUGUCCACCUUCCAGCAGAUGUGGAUCAGCAAGCGGGAGUAUGAUGGGUCCAGCCCCUCCAUCAUCCACCGCCUCCAUCUUCCACAGCAAAUGCUUCUAGGUGGACUGUGACUUAGUUGCAUUACACCCUUUCUUGACAAAACCUAACUUGUGCAGAAAACAAGAUGAGAUUGGCAUGGCUUUAUUUGUUUUUUUGUUUUGUUUUUAUUUAUUUAUUUAUUUUUUUGGCUUGACUCAGGAUUUAAAAACUGGAACGGUGAAGGUGACAGCAGUCAGCUGGAGCGAGCAUCGCCCAAAGUUCUGCAGUGUGGCCAAGGACUUGAUUGUGUACAUUGUUUUUUUAAAGUCAUUCCAAAUAUCGUGAGAUGCAUUGUUACAGGAAGUCCCUUGCCCUCCCAAAAGCCACCCCACUUCUCUCUAAGGAGAAUGGCCCAGUCCUGUCCUGAGUCCACACAGGGGAGGUAACAGCAUUGCUUUUGUUGUAAAUUAUGUAAUGAAAAAUUUUUAAAAUUUCGCCUUAAUACUUUUUUUAUUUUGUUUUAUUUUGAAGAUUUUAGCCUCCGUGGCUACCCCUUUUUUUGUCUCUCAACUUGAGAUGUAUGAAGGCUUUUGGUCUCCCUGGGAGUGGGUGGAGGCAGCCAGGGCUUACCUGUACACUGACUUGAGACCAGUUGAAUAAAGUGCACACCUUAAAAAAAAAAAAAAAAAAAAAAAAAA
This is an RNA transcript of Sapajus apella (tufted capuchin), 1945 nucleotides long. It is a transcript of the gene named actin, cytoplasmic 1-like, with no coding region annotated. The transcript has a single exon. The record is from RefSeq and is a predicted model, not a curated record. NCBI's taxonomy places the organism in Eukaryota, Metazoa, Chordata, Mammalia, Primates, Cebidae.